GGAACACAUGUUCUAGCAUCAGAAGAUGCUGCUACUAUACCCUCAAAGGGGAGCUGGAAGAGUAAGGCACGACUUCUAAGAGAAAGAGGCGGAAGCGUGCGUUAUUUUUACCAAAAAUUACAGAGAAGGAACAGAAAAAUCGCGCUCAGAAAAGAACGUGGGAGAAAGGUAGGAAGAACGAAAAAACUAUAUUGGGACUCUGA
Molecule: long non-coding RNA, 203 nt
Filed under: Nicotiana benthamiana
Lineage: Eukaryota; Viridiplantae; Streptophyta; Magnoliopsida; Solanales; Solanaceae
Description: long non-coding RNA (NBEN_LNC005498)
Source: RNAcentral